Molecule: long non-coding RNA, 3013 nt
Organism: Clupea harengus (Atlantic herring)
Lineage: Eukaryota; Metazoa; Chordata; Actinopteri; Clupeiformes; Clupeidae
Source: Ensembl
GGGGGAGGGGGAGGAGUCGAGGGGGGGGUUUGGGCGAGGGGAGGCGAGUGGCUUAGUGCAUCACACAUGUCUGCAUAAUGAAGUCAAGUUUCUGAAUAUCUGAAACAGAAGAGGAAAACUCCAGUGUUUCUUUGGAAGGAGCAGCAGGAUUGACCUUGGCCCCCCACUGCUCCAUCCUAAUAGAGAUAUGGUACCACUGACCAACAUUCGACUCAGAGUCUUUGAAAUACACAAACUUAAUACGACUACUUCUAUACAUAUUUAACUGCUAUUUUACACUGUUAUUAUCCUAACCUACUUAAACGUUACAAUGAGAGGUGGCAUUCUCUGUAUUUUCAUGGGUUUGGAGCUUUGUUUAUAUUAUGAGCAUGACUUAAAAGUCAGAUGAUAUUACCUGGCCAUCCAUCCAGCAGCAGACGCGAAGAGCUGGGGGCGAUUUGUUUUCCCAUGGGUGACUGUUUCUGCCAGUGCAGCAUAUUGUCACAGCAGGGCAUAUUGUCUGUGUCCAGCACUCUUGUCCUAGCACUGUGAAAGUCAGGCGUUCAGUGAAGCUAACAGAUCUCGAUGUGCACACACACACAGGCACACACACAGGCGCACACACAGGCGCACACACAGGCACACACACAGGCACACACACAGGCACACACACAGGCACACACACAAGCACACACACAAGCACACACACAGGCACACACACAGGCACACACACACACACAGGCACACACACACAGGCACACACACAGGCACACACACAGGCACACACACACAGGCACACACACAGGCACACACACAGGCACACACAGGCACACACACACACAGGCACAGGCACACGCACAGGUACAGGCACACACACAGGCACACGCACAGGCACACGCACAGGCACACGCACAGGCACACGCACAGGCACACACACAGGCACAGGCACAGGCGCACACACACAGGCACACACACAGGCACACACACAGGCACACACACAGGCACACACAGGCACACACACACACAGGCACACACACACACAGGCACACACACACACAGGCACACACACAGGCACACACACAGGCACACACACAGGCACACACACACAGGCACACACACAGGCACACACACACACAGGCACACACACACACAGGCACACACACACAGGCACACACACACAGGCACACACACACAGGCACACACACAGGCACACACACAGGCACACAGAUUGCAGUUGCAUUCCCUGGCAUCGUUUACCACGAGGAGGAUUGUUCAUAGAGCUCGUUUCCAGUUUGUAUUCUCUCUAAAUGUGAGCCACACUGGGCCACUAUGAGACAAUAUAAACACACACACACAGACACUGAGAUACAGGUGUGAUCUUCAGACCAGUGAAAGAGUCACUGUGGAAGGCUUUUAAGCGGAAAUCCCUGCGUUUACAUUUUUUGUAGCUUCCAGGAGAGAAGGAGGGACCUUCAGAGUGUGAUGGAAAUGAUUAGAUAGAACUAGCAUUAGAAGAGAGAGAGUGAGCGUAUGUAUGUACGUAUGUAUAUGUGUGUGUGUGUGUGUGUAGUCACAUCAGGGGUGGCUAUGGCGAUUAAAAACAAAUACUUGAUGUCAGCAUGUAAACUGGUGAUGCUUGUCUUUGUAAGACAUUGUUACCUCCCUCAAUAAACACUCUCUUACCAAGGAAGGAAUUUCACAACUUAACAAUUUUCACAAUUUCCAGAGGGGGACCAUAUACUAGACUGGCUCCUGUAUGCUGGUUUGCUUUUCACCCUUCACACAAUGAUGGUGCUCUACAGGGUGCGUGUUUCAUUUCAAACAAAGGGCCGGAACACUUUACUCUGUUACAGGUUGACGUCUCUCUUACUCAUUUGGGAAUUAUUAUUUGCUGGUUUCUGGUCACUAUGACGUUUCUCUCUUAGACCUUGAGCUCUGUUAUGGCUGCAGCAAUUUAACUUUCUUUAUUCUGGAAAAGUUUGAGCUCAUAUAUAUAUAUAUAUAUAUAUAUUUCUUUUUUGUAUAAAAAUCUGAACAUAUUUUUACUCAUUAAAUACUAGUUCUGUGUGUGGCUUCUUAUCCUGGUUUCUCAUUUAUCGGAAAUGUCCUAUAUAAACUGUACAUUAUGGAACACUGUAACAAUACUCCCAAACGAAACAUUUUAGGGUGUUUUGUCUUUAUAUGUAUAACAAUAUCACUACACAUGGUGAGGCUCGUGUGUGUGGGUGUCUGAGAGAGAGUAAUACUGUGUGAGACAGAAAUACCACACACACACACUCAUCUAUAAAUACUCUGAAUAGCUCCAUCUGUGGCCUUUCAGAUCAGACUGGAGCUCCUUUUGUGAAGGAGCGACUGUAGGCCCUGUCAGGGGCUGUGCUGUGCUGUCCUGUCCUGUCCUGUCCUGAGGACAUUCAAUUCAAUUCAAUUUGAUUUAUAUAACAAUACAAUUGUCUCUAGGCGCUUUACAGAGCCCAGAGCCUGAACCCCCUUAGUGCAAGCACAUUGGCAACACGGGCAAGAAAAAACUCCCUGUUGGUCAGGAAGGAACCUUAAGCAGAACCACGGCACAUAAGGGGGAACCCAUCUGCUUGAGGUCGGCCGGGUGGAGACAUGCAUCUGUACACAUUGCCUGCCCAGCUCUUUCUUUCUGUCUCUCUCUCUCUGUCGGUCGGGUCUGUCUGUCUCUCUCUCUCCCCCCGGGGAAGAUGGGACACCACUGCUGCAGGGAGGCCUCUCCGCACAGACCUCCUCCCAGUGCAGCUGAGGCCACGGCACGGCUGAGUUAUAACAGUUUGGCACACUUAUGUUAUUGCUUUUCUCUCUGUCUCUCUCGUAGUUUGGCCUAGCUACAAUAUCACACACACUCUCUAAAACAUGACACACAUACACUUUCAGACUUUCUCUCAGUGUGGCUGUGCUAUAAUCUCUAUCUCUUUCUCAAACACUCUCGCUCUCUCUAGGAGGAACAAAAAUAGCUGAUGGCUUCUUUGCCGUGUAGAAUCGUGGAGAAUUGCGGAAUAAUUGCAUUUGGGCC